UGUUCAUAAAAGGAGAGUAAAGUAUGGGGCUGCUAACUUCAUUAGAGUUAAUAACUGCAGAUAG
This 64-nucleotide transfer RNA is filed under the name Cyriopagopus hainanus. RNAcentral's name for it is "tRNA-Ser". Lineage: Eukaryota; Metazoa; Arthropoda; Arachnida; Araneae; Theraphosidae. The record is from RNAcentral.